GCAGCAGACGCGUUGCGUGCAACAGUUGUGCUCUAGGUCAUCGGUGCACAGUGCAUGCCGGGUUCCGGGGCUCACCUACCACGCCUACUGUACAUAUAUUUUGGAGCUGUAGCAUUUUCGUUAUUGGGCUACCUCUGCAAGCCCGCCGGCUUUCCUCAAGAGCCGGAAAAGGGCGGGCCCCCCCUGCAUAUAUCCGUACAGGCCGGUGCUAGGGCGGCAUGUGUGAUAAUUGAUGGGUAGUGCCAACGUGGUGAGAGCUGUGCUUGUUGCAGCAGUGCUGAUGCGGUGGGAGCUAUGCUUGUCAGAGCACGGGAGGCAGGACGCUGGGGCUCAUAACCUUUUGAAGAGACGGUGUCUCCCUGGAACCUAGCAGACAUGGUGAAGAGUCAUUGGCUGUUACACGUAGUCGGGAGGUCCACGACCUGCCACCGACAGCCCCUUGCUUGGGCGUAAAUGUAUGAGCCUGAGGUGCCGUUACCGGCACACAGCAGGGGCUCGGCCGCCAAGUCCGCUCAGCAGACACAAUCGCAGCUUGCCAGCCUUCAGCCUGUUGGCUUUGCGGUCUGGUGCUGUUGUAGUGUAGUGCAGUGCUACUGGCCCGUGAAGUAUGUCUCAGGCCGGCACUGCCCCGACCACGGUAUAAGACCGCGCUCCGAACGUGAGUAGAAUAUGAAUUCUAAAAGAACCCACGUCCGUUCUGUGAGCAAAGACGAUUUCAGUAGAUUUAUGGAUUUCGGUAAGGCUGUCGUACAGAUUCAUGAUGUUCAGUUUUGAUGAAUUCUUACAAACGAUUCUUGACAGCCAGGUCAGUUUUCGGAAGAUUUCAUGAUCAUAAUUGAUUCGCAUAUUUCUUGAUAAGCUCAUCAUUACUGUGUAGCUAUCGCGCUACAACAGCUGCCUCCUUCCCCCAGGAACCAGCGUCCUCGCUGUGUUCCGGGUGAGCUUUCCAGUAUUCAGUAAUCAGAUUUCGAUCGGAAAUAUCGGUAGAAUCAAGCCACGUAUUGUUUUCAUCAGUAUGUCCUUUCCAUUUGACCAGAAAUCGGUAUAAGGUUCGUUUUCUCAAUUUACGGGUUUCAUGCUUCAGGAUUCGUUCAAUCGUCCAGACAGGCUUGGAAGUGACAGGGUCAAGUUCCAAAGCUUUCGGAGGCUGAACAGGUCCAUCAGGGACGUCAGCACAGUAAGGUCGGAGUAAGGACACAUGAAACACAUCGUGGAAUCGGUAUUCAGGAGGCAAAUUCAAACGGAAAGUAACGGAAUUAAUCAUUUCAGUGAUCGGAAAAGGUCCAAUCCAACGGGGCAUCAGUUUUCGUGUACCUUUCUGUAUAGACAGAUUUUUCGUACUCAGUAAUACCUGUUGACCAACAUGGAGGGUUACGGUACGUCGUUUCUUACUCUCCUGUUGUACAGCUCGGUCUUGCGCAGACUGAUAAAAUCGUUUCGCAAGAUUCAGUCGUUCAUGAAACGUAUCCACGUACACCUUAGCAGCAGGAACGGUAUCAGCAAGUUCCAACUGUAAAGGCGUUCGCGGGUGGAAACCGUAAUUCAGAAAGAAAGGUGACUGACCCGUGGUUCGGUUUCGCAGAUUGUUAAUCGCGAAUUCAGCGGCAUCGAGAUAACGAUCCCAUUGUUCAGUGUCAGUCGAAACGUAUUGUCGUAACAUAUCUCCAAGGAUUCGGUUGAUUCGUUCGGUUUGUCCAUCGGUUUCAGGGUGAAAAGCGGUACUCGUGUUUUGUUUCGCACCAGCUCGAUUGAGCAAAGCCGGUAGAAACAGAUUCUUAAAUCUCGGGUCACGGUCGGAGAUAAUCUUUUGUGGCAUUCCAUGAAGUCUCACAACGUGAUGAAACAUCAUGUCAGCACAUUGUUCGGCGGUAGCGGUAGUACGGCAAGGAGCCAAAUGUACCAUUUUCGUUAGGCGAUCCACAAACACCAGAAUAGCAUCGUGCUGGCGUUUGGUUUUCGGAAGUCCCACAAUAAAGUCCAUGGAAAUACUUUCCCAAGGCAUAUCAGGGAUCGGUAGUGGAUGUAAUUCACCUGCCGGUAAACCAGAAGCCGGUUUGGUUCGGAGACAUACAUCACACUUCGCCACAAAAUCCGUGACAUCAGUUCGAGGAGUUGGCCACCAGAAACUUCGUUGAACCAAUUCAAUGGUCCGAUCACGACCAGGAUGACCAGAUAAACGAUCAGAGUGACUUCGUGAGAUAAUUUCGUGUUUCAGAAUCGGAUCAUUCGGUACGACGAUUCGGUGAUUCCCCUCCUCCUCCAAGACAAAGAACCCUCCUGGGUGUUCAUAAAAUUCUCGUGUAUUAUUCGGAUUCUGAAACCAGGCGUCCUUGCGGGUCGCUUCCGCAAUUCGGGACGAAAUCGGAAGGUCGGAAGAAGGAGUAAGGGGAGGAACCGCACAGAGAAUCAUGGCCAGAUUCGGAUGUCGAGAAAGAGCAUCGGCAACAACGUUGAGUUUCCCAGGUCGGUAGACCCACUCAAACGUAAACUGCUCGAGGAAUUCAACCCAGCGUGCCUGCCGUCGACUCAGAUGAGCUUGUGUUUUCAGAUACGUAAGCGGAUGAUGAUCGGUAACGAGGGUAAAAGGGAUGUUGCUUUGCAAGUAACAUCGCCACUCGCGUAAAGCAUUCACAACGCCCAACAGUUCUUGUUCACCGGUAGAGUAGUUGCGUUCGGCAGCGGAAAAUUUCUUACUCGUGAAAGCAAUCGACGACCAUCUUGCAACAGUACGGCACCGGUUCCAUUGAGCGAUGCAUCGGAAACAAGCUCAAACGGUUUCGAGAAGUCCGGGUAAUUCAGUAAGACAUCGGUUGACAGGCAUUCUUUAAUGGAUUGAAACGCGGCCAGCGCCUGAGGUGGCCAUUCAUCCGGGAGGCGCGGUUUGCCAAAGAGAUCCGUAAGUGGCGCGGCCAAAGACGCAAAAUUUCGGAUAAAUCGUCGGAAAUAGUUCGCAAGGCCAACGAAGGCGCGCAGCUCACUUAGGUCCUUAGGUUGUGGCCAAUUUCGGAUCGUGUCCACCUUAUUCGGGUCCAUUCGGAUACCAGCAGAGCCUACGAUGUGACCAAGGUACUUGACUUCGGUUUUCCAGAAUUCACAUUUCGAAAGUUUCGCGUGCAGUUGGUGUUUUCGGAGCGUUUCAAGAACCAACCGCAAAUGCUCAGCGUGUUCUUCCGGAGUUUUCGAAAAGAUCAGAAUAUCAUCCAGAUAUACAGUGACAAAUCGGUGCAUAUACGGUGCGAAAAUCCGAUUCAUGGUUGCUUGAAACGUCGCAGGAGCAUUGGAAAGCCCAAAAGGCAACACCAACCACUCGAAAUGUCCCAACGGUGUAUUAAAAGCAGAUUUCGGGACGUCAUCCGGGUGAAUUCGGAGUUGAUGAUAACCAGAAGCCAAGUCGAGAGCGGAAAAGAUUCGUGCUCCCGCCAACCGGUCUAACGUGUCAUCAAUUCGUGGUAACGGAUAUUUGUUCUUAAUCGUUAAUCGAUUCAAGGCUCGGUAAUCGAUACACAUACGGAGCUCACCGGUCUUCUUGGUCACAAAGAGGAUAGGCGCACCAAAAGGAGAUGUUGAGGGUUGAAUAAACCCUUUAGCCAGCAAGUCCUUGACCUGCUUCUCAACUUCUUCCUUUUCCAACGGUGUCAAACGGUACUGACGCCGGUAAAUCGGUUGUGCACCAGGCUCUAACGGAAUCGUAUGAUGUACCCCACGAUCAGGAGGUAGCCCGGAAAUCGGAGCAAACACAUCCGCAUAUUCGUGCAAGAUUGUUGCUAAGGUUCGGUUCGUUUCGAUUUCAGGUGGAAGUUCGAGAGAAUUGACCUGAGAAAUGGGGCUGGUCGGAGGAUGUGCGGUAGAUUCGGUUAACGGUUUCACGACAACCAGCAACCCACGCGAGCCGGGCGACUCAAAAAGGUCUCUAAACGCGCGCUCCACGGAUACCACAGACGUGCGAGCUGGCGCUCUUUCCAACAACAGAAAUUCGGGUUUCGGUGAUUCGGAAACAGAAGAAGACGGGGCGUGCAUCGCUCGCAACGUACAUCGCGCACCGUUUGGCCGUAAUAAACUCAGUUCGCUAUGCGCAGGCCUUAAUUGCGCAUCAUAACGGGUUAAGAAGUUCGUGCCAAGGAUCACAUCCGCAGAUACAGUCAAAGCCGGUAAAACGAGCAAACGGAUAUCGGUACCGAAACUACCAAGGCGCAAACGAGCUCGACACUCACCAAGAAUAGGUACGGUCGACUGGUCGGCCAGGCGCACUGGAGCAAGCGGUGUAGGCAAAAUCCGCAAGCCAAGUUUGGUAGCCAUGAGCUGGGAAACGAAGCAGUGUGUUGCGCCAGUGUCCGGGAGAACUCGUACGGCAUUAGCACCAAGUCGUCCAGCAAAUAAAUGCAACUGAUUAUCGGCCCUAUGGCAUAAACAUGCCGGUNNNNNNNNNNNNNNNNNNNNNNNNNNNNNNNNNNNNNNNNNNNNNNNNNNCCCGGCUGAAACGCGUUAUUGGUAAUAUAUUGCAUUCUCUAUUGCAAGGUAUCUCGCCUGUAGCCAACAAGCAUCGUAUGGGCACUGCCUUCAUGCUGUACGGCACUGUCUUCCGUGUGUGUUCGGGCUGCAGCACCAGACCGCAAAGCCAACAGGCUGAAGGCUGGCAAGCUGCGAUUGUGUCUGCUGAGCGGACUUGGCGGCCAAGCCCCUGCUGUGUGCCGGUAACGGCACCUCAGGCUCAUACAUUUACGCCCAAGCAAGGGGCUGUCGGUGGCAGGUCGUGGACCUCCCGACUACGUGUAACAGCCAAUGACUCUUCACCAUGUCUGCUAGGUUCCAGGGAGACACCGUCUCUUCAAAAGGUUAUGAGCCCCAGCGUCCUGCCUCCCGUGCUCUGACAAGCAUAGCUCCCACCGCAUCAGCACUGCUGCAACAAGCACAGCUCUCACCACGUUGGCACUACCCAUCAAUUAUCACACAUGCCGCCCUAGCACCGGCCUGUACGGAUAUAUGCAGGGGGGGCCCGCCCUUUUCCGGCUCUUGAGGAAAGCCGGCGGGCUUGCAAAGGUAGCCCAAUAACAAAAAUGCUACAGCUCCAAAAUAUAUGUACAGUAGGCGUGGNNNNNNNNNNNNNNNNNNNNNNNNNNNNNNNNNNNNNNNNNNNNNNNNNNGGACAAGGCAUCCUCCAAUUGGCACGCGGUAAAUUGACUUAGAUUGUUUGCCCUGGCAAACUUAUGUACUCCAAACUCAUCCACUGGACGAUGCUGGCUGUAUUUCUUGCGUGGGCGAUCUUGUCGCCGACGGGCGAUGUUGUCCAGGGCGUUCCGGUCAAACUCGUAGGCGCCGACCUCAUUACCGUUGUCCAUGGACAUUGUGUUGGAAGGAUACGUUAAGGUUCAGAUAAAAUGAAGAAAUCAAGAAGCGCUACUUCAUAGUAUGGAGAUGGUAGAAUCUUCAAGCAACUUUUGAACGACCAGGGAGAGUUGCUGAUAGGCGAAUUUGUAUGAAGCUAUAGAAUUCCUUUAUUCUUUUAAGGUAAAUGAAUGCUUAUGUAUUCGUCCGUUAGUAGCGUGAAGCUUUGAACACUCUUUGUACGGCAGAUUCGGCACAAUGUUUUGCCUCAUUGCGAUGUUGCCUGAAAUUUUGAACAGAAGGGAUCACUGCUCAUGCUGGUGCAGCAAGACAUGUAAGGAGAUGGCCUCGUCACAAUCCAGCAGUCAUAUAUCGACAAUCUCAAGCUAUGACAACUUGUUACAUGUGUCUGUAAUAAAAAAAGGACUUUGCGAUGGUGUGGGGAGCUCUUUGAGUGGUGGGAUUGUGGAAAUCCAGUUUGUUUCGCCCGUAACAAGUUUGUUACGGGCGAAACAACGUCCCUCUGGAACGUUUGGAUAUGCCUUUGCAACACAUUUCCUCAAUUUCAUGAACUGCAAGUAUUUUAAUCCAACAUCACCCCAAUCUCAGUGUAAACUAGUCUCCAAAUGUGCCUGCACAAGACUGUCACCCCUGUCACCCGGCAUUCACAUUGCCUUAACCUCCUCAAGCUUGUCGGGGUGUGACACGUGGGCAUGAACCUUGUGACAAUGGGCAUUGUCACAAAGAAACUGGUUGCAAUCAGAAAUGCAUUUUUGCUCAUGCCAGGUUACCGACAUCGGUUACCGAUUACUGGGGACGGUUAACGGAUAACGGUUCGCCCGGUAAUCCUACCGACCGGUUACCCAUCUCGUUAACUGGACCCGUUAGGUCGGAACCGGGCCGGAACCGGCCUGGAGUAUGCCAUUGGGCGGUUUCGGUUAUAGAACAUUUCGGCUCAAUCGGUUUUCCUUUAGGUGGAUCCCACCAAAUUUCAUAAGUGCUCGUUUCAGGCGGAGGAUCUGGACAACCAACCCGAUAUGAACGGUACAACUGAGUUCCAGACGGUAAAAUCAUAAGUCGUGUCAUGUCUUUCAGAUAGGGACGUAUUCGUUUCUGUUCAGUUGGAAUCAGAAUACAAGAGGAUAUGCUAGGAUCAUAACUCUUGCAACGGUGGUAAUGACGGAGGAAAUCGGAUAACAAUUUCGUGGGAGGAUUCAUCCAGAUAGUGUGGCCAGAACAAUCGGAAUUGAGAAAGGAGCGAGUCGGCGAAGCAAACGUGUUACAAACGGAAUUACUCCCAUCAUCGUUCACAGCAGCGUCCAAAGAAAACGUUCGACCAAUUCGACGCUCUAGUUGUCGCAACAACUCAUAAUCAAUAAUUCGGAAAUCAUGCAAAUUCAUGUCCCCAGUACGCGUGCCACACGAAAACGACUGGGCAAACUCCUAUCGGUUCUCUGGCCGACGAAACAUCUCCGGUGUUACCAGCGGAUUCGGACAGCGCGAGCUGAUGUGGUCAUUCUGAAUGCCGCAACGGUAGCACUUCCCUUGCUGCAUCCAUUGGUACUUCUCCCAAUUCGUAAGGAAAGUACCUAAAUGGAGAGGAUUCGGAGUUCGCGAUGGCUCGUUGGGCCUGUUCAGAGCCGCCUGCAUAACCGACACCUUUGCAUCGGAAGACGGAGGUCGUGGAGGUGCCAGUACAGGGGGUCCAGGGAUCGGAGGCGGUGGUCCAGCAGGCGCAACGGAGCGCGCUGGCGGACGAACGGAGUUCAUGACGUUGGUCGCAGUUCCAGCCACCACGGUGGGUUCGGUAGCCGGAGGUCGGUCCGCCCUGACACGCUUCACAACGACAUCGCGCCACGGUUGCGGUUCGGUGUUUCGUUUGCCGGAGAGCUUCGAAGAAUCCUGUCGGGAGCCGUGAAAACGGUGCUUAGUUUUCGUGGAAGCGGCAGCAGCAUAGUGAAGAGCCGCGCGAGAUUGGCCCUGCCCGCGAGCUUGCAAUCUUCGUUCUUCAGUAAGCGCAAAUUGCACAAUUGUAUCAAGAUCGGUAAAUUCAGCACCACGAAGAUCAACUCGGCAAAGCGGACGAAGUUCAGGAAUCAAUCCCAUAUAAAACAAUUUCGCAAGCGAUUUCUGAACGGUAAACUUAGCACGGCGAGCGACUUCACGAAAACGAACAGCAUAUUCAGCUAUCCCUUUUGAAGCAUCCAUUCGGAUCUCCCCUUUCAGUAAAGAUUCAAGUGAUUCAGUUUCCUUGUCGCGUACCUUCGGUUCGAAGUAAUCCAGGAACGCGGUCAACAGCUCCGGUAAAACAAUCGGUUUAUUAGCAUUGUGCGACUCGGUUCGAUAUUCGGAAAGCCAGUCCAGAGCGCCAGGUGGGUGUUCGCGCACCGUGUGGCGCAGUUGCCACAAGGCGUCAUCGGUGUUGUUCGGUGCGUACUUAGCAACCCAUUCUUGAAAAUCGUUGGCGAACAUUUCAAGGCUACUGGACUUGCUCGGCUGCGGUGGUUCAAUUCGGAACGUGAAUCGGGGUUCGGUACGCGCAAGAUUCGUAGUAUCAGGACUCACCACCGGAACUGGUGCGGUUGACGGGCCAGCUCCAGAGUUCUUAAUUGUCGCGAGUUCAAUUUCCGCCUGAACUAGUUGGAGUUUCAGCUCCACCAAUUCGUGUUCACCACGGGAUGGACCGGCGGAGCCGCCAGCAUCCCUAGUCGGUUCGGUGGCUCGCUGUGAGUUCGCUUGAGUCGGUUGAUUCGGUAGGUUCAGUGAGUCCAGCGGGUUCGGUAGAAUCGGUGGUGGUACAGUGGUUUCAUCUACAUUCAUGGAAUCGGUUAUCGUGGACGGAUCCAUGGCGGAACGACAGGAAGUCGCGUUCAAAGCCGCCAACCUUGAACAGAGAGACGAAGUCCAGCAAGUAGGGCUUGUAACAGGGCUUCGUUGGGAGUGCGCGGUGGACCGGAGAACAUCCGCCUCAGAAGUCAAUGGUCAGCCGCCCUUCAAUGAGGGAGGCGGCUGGUACGCUAAAUUAAGCCAACUACUUAGAGAAUAAUAUAUUAAUAGCAAUGCGCUGCUGAGACACCAAAAGAUGUUGUAGUGUAGUGCAGUGCUACUGGCCCGUGAAGUAUGUCUCAGGCCGGCACUGCCCCGACCACGGUAUAAGACCGCGCUCCGAACGUGAGUAGAAUAUGAAUUCUAAAAGAACCCACGACCGUUCUGUGAGCAAAGACGAUUUCAGUAGAUUUAUGGAUUUCGGUAAGGCUGUCGUACAGAUUCAUGAUGUUCAGUUUUGAUGAAUUCUUACAAACGAUUCUUGACAGCCAGGUCAGUUUUCGGAAGAUUUCAUGAUCAUAAUUGAUUCGCAUAUUUCUUGAUAAGCUCAUCAUUACUGUGUAGCUAUCGCGCUACAACAGGUGCUGCAGCCCGAACACACACGGAAGACAGUGCCGUACAGCAUGAAGGCAGUGCCCAUACGAUGCUUGUUGGCUACAGGCGAGAUACCUUGCAAUAGAGAAUGCAAUAUAUUACCAAUAACGCGUUUCAGCCGGGCGAGGUAUUAUGUUUGGUCCGUUACACACACACACACACACGGCCACACGGACAUGGGCAAUCCUACAGGGCGGGGCCCCCCUGGGCGCUUCACGCUGGGGCCCCGCCCAAAACCUGGGUCAAGGGGUGGCUGGCUGCUGCGUGGGUAGCUGGCUGUCAAAGGGACUCAUGCAGAGGGUCUAGCGAGCAAGUGACCGAGGAUGGAAACCCACCCGCUAUCUAGCUGGCCUCUGGCUUCUCUCUUUUAAAGUACCAAAUCUAUUUCAGCUGAUGACCGGCAUACGUGAGAGCUCAACAUAUGGGAGCUGUGCUGCUUAUGCGCUCCCGGCUGUGAUCCCCUAUGUGUUGAAUGCAUCCAAGCAAUUCUUGGUGUCACAGCUCCCUCACAGCACUUUUAGGUGGCUUCACGUGGCCAACGUGCGUCGACAUAAGCUAUAGCUUGUGGCACAUGUUUUUUGGGGUUGGGGUUGGCAUGAAUGUCCCGGUGGCGUUGUUUCGCCGUAGACCAGCAUGCACCUGGUAGCAUUGCUAGCUAGAGCUGGACUGUCAUGCAGUGUGAGCCGUGCCACUCUGCUGCUGACCAGCCAUGAGGAUGUCGAUGCUGGGCGUUUN
Molecule: long non-coding RNA, 9477 nt
Filed under: Volvox carteri
Lineage: Eukaryota; Viridiplantae; Chlorophyta; Chlorophyceae; Chlamydomonadales; Volvocaceae
Description: long non-coding RNA (VCAR_LNC003856)
Source: RNAcentral